AACAAAGGGCUGAAGAGUGCAGUCUUCUUACAAGGUUUCAGAAGAGGACUUUCUAUUAGGAAUUAGAUUAGAAGCCAUUUGUGUCACAUUCUCACAAGAAAUCUGGAUGUAUUCUGCCUGGGUCCCAGCCACUUUUGAGCCAUUUGAAUUCAAAAGUAGAUGGGCUAAAUUGUUUGGCAGAGGAAGUUUCAAGAGAGUCUAAUGGCCAGGCUGUGUGACAGCUGCUUCUCACUGUGUUUAGUGAGGUUUAUAAUGAAAAUUCAAAGUAGGAAAAUAUGAAGAUUUGCAGUUUAAUGAGGACAGGAAUGUGGACAUGGCUGAGACUGAAGAAAGAUGGUGGAAGUUUGUAGGAAGGACCAAGUAUCCAUACUAGUUAGAGAUGGCACUAGCAAAGACAAGGCAUGCAUUUCACAGAAGGACAGCUGGGGGAAAUGCCUUGACGGUAAGGUUCCACUCGUGCAGCGCUCCAACUUGUAAAGAGGAGAAUUAAUUUGCCGUGGGAGAGCCCUGACUUGAGAAUGCUGCAGUGAGCUGCAGAGUAAGGCUAUCUUAAGUACAGCCUGAGGACCAUUGCUUAAAGAUGUGAAGAUGAAGCUUAAGAUAUCAGAAGACUCCAAGAUACUGGAAAUGCAGACAUAUGGACUCCUCAUCAAGGAAAGCAUUCUACAAGACCUUGUGAAGAAUAGAUAUGGCUACAAAUUUCCCUGUUCCAAUGCUCACCGCUAGAAGACUUGUGGCUGUAGUCUUACAAUGGUAGAACUUCCUUCACCUUUUUCCCAUUGAUAGAUUGAUCUUACAUAUGCAGAUUCGAGGCAUUCCAAUGGAGUUAUUCAUUUGGCAUAAGUGGGCAGCUAAGCCCUCCAAAGGGUGGGAUGGUAAACUUCCAGACACCCUCACUGAUGAAACUGCCCUGACAGGAGAUAUAUUCCAAGGACACCCUGGAGCCUUUACCUUCACCCCUCUGGUUAGCUAAGCACUGACUUUCAGAGAUGUCCAUGUCCUGAUCCUUGAAACCUGUGUCUAUGCCACCUUGAAUGACGAAGAGUUUUCAUAGACGUGGCCAAGGCUUUUACAGUGGUAAGCUGAUCCUGUAGGAUUCUAUGUAAUCACUGGGCCCUUAUCUCGGGAAGCAGAAGGACUCCAGCCAGAAAGUGUGACAGAGACAAAUGAAAAAGAAGAUCGUGUUCAUGGGAUAUGGGCAGUGUCUACCUGGAAAAGGCUGUAGUUGAAACAAUUUUAACAUCUCCAGUAAUUGGACAUAAUAUUUUUAUUUAACCAAUAGUUUUAAAUUAAGGAACAAGGUUUUCACAAAAAAAAAAAAAACCUUGGUAACCAUGAGAACUUACUUGUAGGCAUCUAGACCUUCAGGUACAGCAUUUAGGAUUACAAUGCAUAGCAACAGACUAAACUUCAACAAAAGGCAAAGAAGUGGAUACCCGUGACUCUUAGGAUUCCUGAACGCCUACUGACCCCUGCAUUUUAACCCAGUGAGGCCUGUAUUGAAGUCCUGGACCCUGAGACUGGUAGCUGAUAUAACUGCAGUGAUUUUGGCAUCCGUCUGUGUUCACUCAAUUGAGUAGCCUCAGGGAACCUACGCAGGGUAGAAAGACUCAGGCACUGUGCCACAAGGUUUGGAAAUGAACAGAAGAUCUGGACAGAUGAUGCCCCUGAGUACUAGGAGCUGCCAAUCUGGUGCCUUGGAAGAGGUUGGUGAAGAGGGCAAGGGCUUUACUUCCAAUGGACUGAGAAGCUCAGUGCUCCAAAUCUGCCCAGAUGAACAUGUAGAACUUACCUACCCUCAUAUCAACAUAACGGUUCUCUAGAGAAUCAGAACUCAUAGGAUGAGUGUCAAAAGGGAUUUAUUAUAUGGGGCGACAAGAUAGGGUUGUCUAGCAGUGGCUAUCUCAUUUCAGAGAGGCUGAGAACCUGGUCUUUAGCUGUGUUAAAAGGCCCAAAAAACUGGCUCUAAUAUUGGCUCUCAUAGCAACGAGAUAAAUGCAUUUGCUAGCACAGUGUUAGCAAGCACCCAAAGACCACAGCUUCCUUCUUCCAUGUCCUUUUAUCAGGGUAGGGAACUACCAAAAGGUACUGCCCACAGUUAGGAUGGGUCUUCCCACUCCAAAUAAUCUGCUCAAGAAAGUACCUUACACUAGUGCCCAGUGGCUCACUUUACAUUCGAUUCCAGAUCAAUCCAGACAUGUUAACAACCAAGCUUUGCCAUCAUGAUGUGCUCAUAAAUUUCCCAUUAAGAAUAGGUAGGCAUGCUCAAGGGUUAGAAUUAAGUUUAUAUCAUCUCUUACGAUGGUGAUGGAGUUUUCUUGAGGGAGCUACUUUGACUCUGGGAUGAUUUCAUUUAAGUGGGAGUGAUAACAGCUGCCUUUAUUAGGACUUUCCUACCCACCAUUUUCAUACAUGUCAAGUCAAAGGAAAUGAAUGAAGAGGAGAGAGGAGUCCUUAGUUGAUGCUACAUCUAAGCGGCCCUCUCCAGUCCACUGUCAACACUUCGUACAACACAAGGUAGCAGACCUCCUGAUUCCUUGACCCUGAUGCCACUUGGGCUGGACAAUUGCACAUGUAUAUAGCAAUGGGCCCAGGUAAGAACCUUCUCUAAGAGGAGUCCUCCCUUUGAAUGUAGAAUCUGAUGUCUACCACCACACCUUGCCUAACAAGGGAUCUGCGUGCAUCUCUUGGAUAGGUCUGGUAACGAGAGCCUGUUUCCACAUUCUAAUAGGAAAAGCCACACUCAUCUCCUAGGAUUCCUCCAAGACUCUGGCAUCUCGUUACCUGAGACACCACAUUCUUCAUGAGAAUUUUUGAGCAACUAAACACUAGCAAGUAAGGUGGCUAUUCUAAUAAAAAUCAACUGU
Molecule: small RNA, 2867 nt
Filed under: Rattus norvegicus (Norway rat)
Lineage: Eukaryota; Metazoa; Chordata; Mammalia; Rodentia; Muridae
Description: uncharacterized LOC103694077
Source: RNAcentral